RNAcentral lists this ribosomal RNA (291 nucleotides) under Triticum aestivum (bread wheat). RNAcentral's name for it is "partial small subunit ribosomal RNA". The record is from RNAcentral. Lineage: Eukaryota; Viridiplantae; Streptophyta; Magnoliopsida; Poales; Poaceae.
AUGCUUACAAAGGCGCAAUGGAUCGCCCUGUCGAAAGAAAAGCAAGGCCAAUCUACGAGCAGCGGCAAGAAGAAGGGGAAGGGGAAGCAGCGCUCGGCGAGAAAGAACUUUGCCGACUCGGACGACGAGGAUGCGCCUGCACCACCGAGGAGGAAGUUUGACAUCAGAAAAGUGAGGUGUCAUAAGUGUGGCCUCCUCGGUCACUUCAAGGCUAACUGCGAGGAAGCACCGAAGCAACGGGCGCUUAUGGCCGAGGAAGGAGACGAUGGGGAUAUGAUGCUAAUGUGCGAG